GUGAACAAGUAGUAUUAUGUGAUAUAUCUUAAAAUCCGAUUUGCAAUAAAAUUCCAGCAAAACUUUGUUCCCGUGAUAACUAUUCUUUUCAUUUAUAUAUUGACAGUGGACUAUUUGUAAAAAUCCCAAACUUUUGGCAUUUGUGUAGUCUAAAAGACUAGAUUUCAAAACUACACCUUCAAACAAGCAUUCGUGCAAAUUUGUAGAAGCAUAGCUGUAUUUUUUGAUUAAUUCAAAAAAUUUGGGGUUUUUAUUCAAAGUGCGUCUUGUUUGACGGUCUCAGACACUAUAAGAGCUAUAGUCACCAAAUUUGACUGUGACUCAUGUGAUGUCACAGUGAAUCAAGUUUGUUUCAAAGUUUCGACACGCCCCCUUCCGAUCCCACAAAGAGCAAUUUUGAAGGAAAGAGAAGAUAACUGAAUAGGUAUUGUUUUUAGGAGGGCGCUUCCUUUCGCUGAAGAAUUGUUGGUAUAAUUAUGUAUGUAAUUGUAUGUGUAUGAUGAAGCAAGAAUUUGCACAAUGUAUGAAUGUAGAUUCGAAUGUAAUGUGUACCGGAAUGUACGCGGGUGGGUAGCGAACUAAUCUAAGCUUAGCGGCUGGCUGCCCGCCAGCUCUCGAGCGCUAGGAAAGAAGGAGAGCGCGAGAGCGUAAGGAGUGAGAGCGAGCUCCGGCUGUUAAUAACAGCCCGCUGCUAACUCGCUGCUGCUACUUUCAACAAGUUCAACAACUUUUUGACAGCUCGGAGCCUAUCUUCGGUCCUUAGGCGGAGAAAUCGGCGACACUUCCGUAGAGGAUGGAAUUCAGAGCAGACUCGGCAUUGGUGGGACUCAGUACCUCGGGAACGUCUGCUCUGAGUGGUGCGGUCGACUUGCGACCGAGACGCCAUGUAUGCAUGCGGAAGGCUAGGACGAGUUGAGGAAGUCGAAGAAGCAUUAGUAAUUUGCUUAACGGAACGGAGUAUGGGCACAUUUUAUAAUUCCAUCUAUGGUGGUAAGCUCUUGAACUUUGAACAGUGUUGAUCCUAUAAUCUUUGAUUUUAUUACUUCGAUUGCUAAAAAUUCAUCAGGACCUUUGUUAGGUUAAGUAAUUUAAUCGAUGUUAUGAAUCGUUGCAAAUGAAGUUGCUGUCCAUUGAAUUCGGGUAUGGUGUGAGAUAUAUCUUUGAUAUAUGCCCGUUGGGCAACUGGGUCGUCUUCCAUUCUAAUGUGUCUUGUUUCUAUCACACUAUUCAAUGAUUCUGAAUAAGAAAAAUCUUGCUCUUGAUAUUGUGGUACUGUUAACACAGCUAGGAUCGUUAGAUCGUGUAGAUCUUUUUCUUCCACAUUUGUCUCUUGAUAAAUUGAUUCAACCUCUUGGUCAAAUUCUUGAAUUUGGCUUGUUCCAGGCUGUUCUAUGUCUACGGUCAAUGGAGUAUUCAAAACUGUUGGAAUUUAAAUAUCCAAAUUGAAUUUCCUUUGAAUUAAUAUCAAAUUUGAUCGAAGUAUGAUCAAAAAUGUAGUAGUAGUGAAGUAGGAUACCUGCGACCAAUUUUGUUGUCGACUCGGCUAUUGAUGCUGAUCAAGAAUAUAUAUACUUUAUCAGGUCGGAAACGCUUCCUUCUGUGAGUUACAUACAACCGUUAUUAUCACAAAUACAAUAUACCCUAUUUACUCUUUGAGUGAAAAGAAAAUAGUGAAAAGAGUGACCUUCAAAGUUGCGUACAAGAAACUUUCAUAGAUGGCGCCAAUUUCGAAAAAUCUGAUGUGAAACCUAUCGGUCAUUAUUGCACAGAAUGUGCAGACCAUUGGACCAUCAAAGCUGCGUACAAGAAAUUUUUAUAGAUGGCGCCACUUUCGAAAAAUCUGAUGUGAAACCUAGCGGUCAUUAUUGCACAGAAU
RNAcentral lists this long non-coding RNA (1876 nucleotides) under Drosophila guanche. The record is from RNAcentral. Lineage: Eukaryota; Metazoa; Arthropoda; Insecta; Diptera; Drosophilidae.